CCUACGGGUGGCAGCAGUGGAGAAUCUUUGACAAUGGAGGCAACUCUGACCCAGCAAUGCCGCGUGGAUGAAGAAAGUCUUCCGAUUUGAAAAUUCUUUACUCAGGGGCGCAGAAGAUGACGGUACCUGAGGAAUAAGACACGGCAAACAAUGUGCCAGCAGCCGCGGUGAUACAUAGGUGGAAAGCGUUGUCCGGAAGGACUGGGCGUAAAGGGGGCGUAGGCGGUUUGUUAAGUUGGAAGUGAAAUCCCGGGGCUCAACCCCGGAACGGCUUUCAAGACUGCCGGACUUGAGUAUAAGAGGGGGAAGCGGAAUUCCUGGUGUAGCGGUGGAAUGCGUAGAUAUUAGGAGGAACACUAGUGGCGAAGGCGGCUUACUGGACAAUAACUGACGCUGAGGCUCGAAGGCGAGGGUAGCAAAAAGGAUUAGAUACCCGAGUAGUC
This 443-nucleotide ribosomal RNA is filed under the name uncultured bacterium. RNAcentral's name for it is "partial 16S ribosomal RNA". It matches the Rfam family "Bacterial small subunit ribosomal RNA", at positions 338 to 795 of the family's 1533-position model. The record is from RNAcentral.